AAGAACAUGUAAUUACAUAAUACAAUAUUAGUCUAAAAGGCCAAUAACCAUUAGCAACUAGAAGGGGAAUAAACAAACAAUAAAAAUCAUAUUUACAUCAACGCUAACAUGCUGCCAAUGGUUCCAAAGCAUCAAAAUAUUCAAAUCAUAGUAGUUAUUUUUUCUUUCUCCCUUCUCUUUGGUAUAAUCUUCCAUAUGGGCAGCCCUGCUAAUGUAGAACCAAUGGGUGAGAAAGAAAUUCUCAAUAUUUUAUUAUACUCA
Molecule: unclassified non-coding RNA, 261 nt
Filed under: Hevea brasiliensis (rubber tree)
Lineage: Eukaryota; Viridiplantae; Streptophyta; Magnoliopsida; Malpighiales; Euphorbiaceae
Source: RNAcentral